Molecule: ribosomal RNA, 1345 nt
Filed under: uncultured bacterium
Lineage: Bacteria
Description: bacterial SSU rRNA
Rfam family: Bacterial small subunit ribosomal RNA
Source: RNAcentral
GACGAACGCUGGCGGCGUGCUUAACACAUGCAAGUCGAACGAUGAAGCCUAGCUUGCUAGGUGGAUUAGUGGCGAACGGGUGAGUAAUACGUGAGUGACCUACCUUUGACUCUGGGAUAAGCCUGGGAAACUGGGUCUAAUACCGGAUACGACCAAUCUCUGCAUGGGGUGUUGGUGGAAAGCGUUAUGGAGUGGUUUUAGAUGGGCUCACGGCCUAUCAGCUUGUUGGUGAGGUAAUGGCUUACCAAGGCGACGACGGGUAGCCGGCCUGAGAGGGUGACCGGCCACACUGGGACUGAGACACGGCCCAGACUCCUACGGGAGGCAGCAGUGGGGAAUAUUGCACAAUGGGCGCAAGCCUGAUGCAGCGACGCCGCGUGAGGGAUGACGGCCUUCGGGUUGUAAACCUCUGUUAGCAUCGAAGAAGCGAAAGUGACGGUAGGUGCAGAGAAAGCGCCGGCUAACUACGUGCCAGCAGCCGCGGUAAUACGUAGGGCGCGAGCGUUGUCCGGAAUUAUUGGGCGUAAAGAGCUUGUAGGCGGUUGGUCGCGUCUGCUGUGAAGGCCGGGGCUUAACUCCGGUUUUGCAGUGGGUACGGGCUAACUAGAGUGCAGUAGGGGAGACUGGAAUUCCUGGUGUAGCGGUGGAAUGCACAGAUAUCAGGAGGAACACCGAUGGCGAAGGCAGGUCUCUGGGCUGUAACUGACGCUGAGAAGCGAAAGCAUGGGGAGCGAACAGGAUUAGAUACCCUGGUAGUCCAUGCCGUAAACGUUGGGCACUAGGUGCGGGGGACAUUCCACGUUUUCCGCGCCGUAGCUAACGCAUUAAGUGCCCCGCCUGGGGAGUACGGCCGCAAGGCUAAAACUCAAAGGAAUUGACGGGGGCCCGCACAAGCGGCGGAGCAUGCGGAUUAAUUCGAUGCAACGCGAAGAACCUUACCAAGGCUUGACAUGCAUUAGAUCGCGUCAGAGAUGGCGUUUCCCUUCGGGGCUGGUGUACAGGUGGUGCAUGGUUGUCGUCAGCUCGUGUCGUGAGAUGUUGGGUUAAGUCCCGCAACGAGCGCAACCCUCGUUCUAUGUUGCCAGCGGUUCGGCCGGGGACUCAUAGGAGACUGCCGGGGUUAACUCGGAGGAAGGUGGGGAUGACGUCAAAUCAUCAUGCCCCUUAUGUCUUGGGCUUCACGCAUGCUACAAUGGCCGGUACAGAGGGUUGCGAUACUGUGAGGUGGAGCUAAUCCCUUAAAGCCGGUCUCAGUUCGGAUUGGGGUCUGCAACUCGACCCCAUGAAGUCGGAGUCGCUAGUAAUCGCAGAUCAGCAACGCUGCGGUGAAUACGUUCCCGGGCCU